UGAGCAAUCUGCCCUUCUCUUCGGAAUAAGCGUUGGAAACGACGUCUAAUGCCGAAUACGACCUCCUUUCGCAUGAUCGGAGGUGGAAAGCUCCGGCGGAGAAGGAUGAGCUCGCGGCCUAUCAGCUUGUUGGUGAGGUAACGGCUCACCAAGGCUACGACGGGUAGCUGGUCUGAGAGGACGACCAGCCACACUGGAACUGAGAUACGGUCCAGACUCCGUAGGGAGG
RNAcentral lists this ribosomal RNA (229 nucleotides) under uncultured bacterium. RNAcentral describes it as "partial 16S ribosomal RNA". It matches the Rfam family "Bacterial small subunit ribosomal RNA", at positions 118 to 348 of the family's 1533-position model. The record is from RNAcentral.